This 476-nucleotide ribosomal RNA is filed under the name uncultured bacterium. Its description in RNAcentral is "bacterial SSU rRNA". It matches the Rfam family "Bacterial small subunit ribosomal RNA", at positions 328 to 796 of the family's 1533-position model. The record is from RNAcentral.
CCUGGAGACUCCUACGGGAGGCAGCAGUGGGGAAUUUUGGACAAUGGGCGCAAGCCUGAUCCAGCCAUGCCGCGUGUCUGAAGAAGGCCUUCGGGUUGUAAAGGACUUUUGUUAGGGAAGAAAAAGGAGCGGUUAAUACCCGUUUCUGCUGACGGUACCUAAAGAAUAAGCACCGGCUAACUACGUGCCAGCAGCCGCGGUAAUACGUAGGGUGCGAGCGUUAAUCGGAAUUACUGGGCGUAAAGCGAGCGCAGACGGUUACUUAAGCAGGAUGUGAAAUCCCCGGGCUCAACCUGGGAACUGCGUUCUGAACUGGGUAGCUAGAGUAUGUCAGAGGGGGGUAGAAUUCCACGUGUAGCAGUGAAAUGCGUAGAGAUGUGGAGGAAUACCGAUGGCGAAGGCAGCCCCCUGGGAUAAUACUGACGUUCAUGCUCGAAAGCGUGGGUAGCAAACAGGAUUAGAUACCCUUGUAGUCC